GUCCCUGUAGCGCAAUGGAUCGCGCGUUGGACUUCUAAUCUAAAGGUCAUGGGUUCGAAUCACACCUGGGAUG
RNAcentral lists this transfer RNA (73 nucleotides) under Trichonephila inaurata madagascariensis. It matches the Rfam family "tRNA". From Rfam's summary of the family: Transfer RNA (tRNA) molecules are approximately 80 nucleotides in length. Their secondary structure includes four short double-helical elements and three loops (D, anti-codon, and T loops). Lineage: Eukaryota; Metazoa; Arthropoda; Arachnida; Araneae; Nephilidae. The record is from Rfam by way of RNAcentral.